GUAAUCCAUGUGUUUAGUGAAGCACAUGAUCCCGUCGAGAAAGACUAAGUUGAUAUUGCAAGCUCCAAGUCUUCUCUUUCUAGUCUGAGGAUGUGGCCACCAUGUUGAGUUGGGAAUCAGGCGCCAUUGAAUUCGAUCGUGUUGGCAAGGCUUUAGUGCUUAGGCCUUGCAGGCCCAAGCCACGUUUUUAGUCGCCGCAGUGCAUGGCAUCGAGGCCAUUUGCAGAGAAGGAUUUCUAUCUACUUAUAAGUAAAGUAUAGAGGACACACCAUUCGUGCCACAACUUGGUGUUGUCAACAAACACCACAGUGUAUGCGAUUACGGUUCGCCGGCAAUACAGUAGGUCCGCCAGGAUCAUGUUUGUUUACCUGGGUUGUCGCGUAUGGUAAUGCAAAAUGGCCGCCGUGAGUUCUUUGAUUUCACGAUAUUAUCGCUGUCUUUUAGAAAUGUCCGUAGCAUACGUAUACGGUAGUCAUUCGAGAUGUCCUCUCAAACGUUUUCUCUAUAACAGUAGAAGGUACAAGUACCCUACAGUAGGCUGCUAUUUCAUAACUUGACCCUGAAACGAAUUAUUCAAGCCACGUGAGGGAGGCUAAAUUAUCUUCAAUUAUAUAGCCGAGGCAGCCAUGCUGGGCGCUGGAGCUGCACUAUGGUCUAGGAUUCCUCGUACAUAAAGCAUCCUCCAUUCAUAUGUGCACAGUCUUAAUAAAACACUGUUUUCCAACACCAUUUUAGGAUUUUCGGACGUUCAGCCAAGGUUGUGCAACAUAAGAUGUCUGAAAAUGGUGAUGCAAAAUUAUGUUUUAUUAAAGAUGUACUCCGGUACUUUGGCAACUAAAGGUAUUUUUUUAAACCUCCCGCUUUGGGCUGGAUGUGUCAAUGUAGUUCAUACAUGCAUAAUCUAUUAACCAAAUUACUGUUUUACCUCAGUAAGCAAUGAAAUCCAUAGUUUGAAAGCGACUGUUUUCUUGAAGCUGUACCAAGCCAUUUUCCCUACAUUUCCCGCAUUUGAGUGACUGCUAGUAAGAGGCCUACCCAGUGUUAUCCAAUGAGGUUGCAGGGCGGACACAGCUGAGAGAGGGAGGGAGCGCUCAAUGACGUGGUGCACAAAUCCGCGUAUAUGUGAUGUAUGCAAUUUUUGGGGACCACUUUUGUCUCGUG
Molecule: long non-coding RNA, 1161 nt
Filed under: Salmo salar (Atlantic salmon)
Lineage: Eukaryota; Metazoa; Chordata; Actinopteri; Salmoniformes; Salmonidae
Description: lncRNA (ENSSSAG00000082825.1)
Source: RNAcentral